CCUACGGGGCGCAGCAGUGAGGAAUAUUGGUCAAUGGGCGGAAGCCUGAACCAGCCAAGUCGCGUGAGGGAAUAAGGCCCUACGGGUCGUAAACCUCUUUUGCCGGGGAGCAAGGGCCGGGACGAGUCCCGGUCCGGAGAGUACCCGGAGAAAAAGCAUCGGCUAACUCCGUGCCAGCAGCCGCGGUAAUACGUAGGUGGCAAGCGUUAUCCGGAUUUACUGGGUGUAAAGGGCGUGUAGGCGGGGAAGCAAGUCAGAUGUGAAAACCACGGGCUCCACCUGUGGC
RNAcentral lists this ribosomal RNA (286 nucleotides) under uncultured bacterium. RNAcentral describes it as "partial 16S ribosomal RNA". It matches the Rfam family "Bacterial small subunit ribosomal RNA", at positions 338 to 620 of the family's 1533-position model. The record is from RNAcentral.